This 222-nucleotide long non-coding RNA is filed under the name Solanum tuberosum (potato). RNAcentral describes it as "long non-coding RNA (STUB_LNC009753)". Lineage: Eukaryota; Viridiplantae; Streptophyta; Magnoliopsida; Solanales; Solanaceae. The record is from RNAcentral.
ACAUUGUUGAUUUAGAACUUGGCCUGAAUGUUGGUUGGAACGAAAUUUUGAGUAACAUUUAGCUUGGGAAAGGAUUAUAGGCUUUCUUUGAUCCGAUUGUGCCUUCCAAGCCUACCAAAUGACAUGUUAUCCAUAUAAUUUCCAUUUCGAGCCUAAAACCUUUUCAUUUGAAUAACCAUAUUUUAGCGUAUAUCUUUUGAGUGUAAUGGUGCGCUAUACCUC